This 301-nucleotide ribosomal RNA is filed under the name uncultured bacterium. RNAcentral describes it as "partial 16S ribosomal RNA". It matches the Rfam family "Bacterial small subunit ribosomal RNA", at positions 509 to 807 of the family's 1533-position model. The record is from RNAcentral.
CAGUAGCCACGGUAAUACGAAGGGUGCAAGCGUUAAUCGGAAUUACUGGGCGUAAAGCGUGCGUAGGCGGUUUGUUAAGUCUGCUGUGAAAUCCCCGGGCUCAACCUGGGAAUGGCAGUGGAUACUGGCAAGCUAGAGUGUGUCAGAGGAUGGUGGAAUUCCCGGUGUAGCGGUGAAAUGCGUAGAGAUCGGGAGGAACAUCAGUGGCGAAGGCGGCCAUCUGGGACAACACUGACGCUGAGGCACGAAAGCGUGGGGAGCGAACAGGAUUAGAUACCCCCGUAGUCCCUGUCUCUUAUAC